UGAACAGAGAGAGGAGAGGCUCUACUGAAGGCUCAUAAUUAGUAGUAGUACACAACUGGAAAAUUGAAAGAUCAGGCUCCACCACUGAAGACUCAUAAUUAAAGAUUGGGCUAUUCACCAAGAGAUGGAAGAGUCUGCAAUGGACCAACAGAAUUGUAGACCAACAGAUGCCGUCAGGAUUUCCGUUAGAUUGACCGCGUCAACUCGCAUAGGACUGGGAAGAUGAAACUGUAAAGUAUGAAGUUACCACAGGGGUUUUUAGGGGAGAAGGAGAGAAGUAGCUGCAUCAAGGAGGAGACAAAGGUCCAGUUUGAAGAAACCAUCAACGUGCAAACAGAGCACAGUUGAAGUCUUCUCCCUCGUCAUCUCCUCCUCAUCCUGCAAAGAAGAAAGCGUGAAUCCGAUAAACAAGAAGAUUACAAACCAAAAGAUGAGGAAGACGAUGGUGAGAAAAGCUGGGUCUUAAGCUUAGGCUGCUGGGUUUUCAUGAUGGGAAUGGGAUCAAGUUCCGCCACCUUUUCUAAUUAAUUUAUUUUCUUUAUAGUUUUUGUGACUAUCACUUGAUCAAUUUUGAUGGUUAGCUCUUUGUUUUUGAUGGGUAGCAUAGUUUGCUUUUGAUUACAUGAGGCAUUUGUACGUUUUGAGCGAAUGAGCAUUGACCAAUGUGGGUUGUCAUUUCUUUGAUAUCUUUGCCAUUCCUGGGAAAUCUCACUGCUCUUGAAUCCCAAGGGAGGUCAUUAAAACUCUUUUUAAUCCCAUUUUUAACAAACCCUGGGAGUUCUAACUUUGCUUAUAUUUGAACAUUUGCUUACAUAUGCCAAAGUUAUAGAGGCUGCUCCCAGAGGUAAAAUCAAAAUCAAAAGUAAGCUUCUUUCCUCUUUAUACAAAAUCAGAGAGAUGAGUUUGAGUGGCUGCUUAUGGCUAGAUUACUGAUUUUGUGGGACUAUGAAUCAACCUAUAGGUUAGAAAAUUUUAAAUAAUUGGAUCUUUAAAGAAUCAAACAUUUUGUGCACAUUAGCUGUUUGAAUAAAUGCUCCAAAUGCAAUUUUUUGGCAAAUGUCUCAUGCAUUUUACCUCUUUGAAUAGGUUCACUUCCAAUUCCAACAAUGGCUAAUUCUUGCGGUUUUGUGUUUCGUGACUUCCGUGGGGUAUGUUGUCUUUGACUGCAACUCCAUAUGUGAAACCUAGCCAAUUACCCUUGUGCAAAUUUCAGCAACCUAUGCAACCUAGAGCUUUAUUUGCAUGCGUAGUUUUGAACAUUUGCUAGAGACGUGAGAACAUUUCUACAUGAUAAUAGGUCGAAUGUGUCCUGCUAUAUGUUGCUGUGCAGAGUGGUUACAAAGCUCUUGCUUGUAAAUGAUUUUUUGCUUGAGUUCAGUUUUCUCCACAGAAAGCAUGUAGUUUUUUUUUUAUCUUUUUUUUUCUUUUUGUGUUGAAGUUGAUCUGAGACUAGUGACACACACACACACACACACCACUCCUCUAAGUAGCAGUGAAGCUCAUUAAUGGGGGGCAUUUCAUGCAUGACCAGAUGGCACUUAUAACAAUGAAUAUGGACAGCUUGGAACAAGGGAUACAGAAACGAGAUCACAACACAUUUCUGUCCAUGGGCUUUUUGGUCUUACUUCCGGGUCUAUAUGUCCUAUUUGUUUUUGUUCAUUUCUUUUAGUCCUUUGUACUUGUUCAGCACCACUGUGAUUUGUUUGCCUUCUCAAAUAUUAUUAUCCACUGAUGUGUGAAAUAUGUGUUCUGCAGACCUUAUUUUACACUAUCAUAAUUUUCUCGUCUUAUGUAGAAGUUUUAGAAUCUUUGUAGACCAUAUUGUACUAACAAAAACAUGCUACAGAAACUUCAAAUUAGCAGCAUGUUCUGAUUGGUCUAAAAAGGUUGCUUUAGUCAUUAGUUAGCGGUGGGAUAUCUACUGAAUUGCAACUACGUAAGCAAUUGCUACUGUUAGACAGUGUUCUUUGGCAUUCAUUUCCAUAACAAAGUGCCUAAAGAUUGGAAACAUCUUUACCACAUAGACAGGUUUGAACACUUAAUCAUUGCAAAUGUUGCUAUUGUUCCUCUAGAUCUCAAGAUGAAUCGACUAAAUUAGUUAUUCUUUUGAGUUUAUUUUUGUCCUUGGAAGCUAGUCAUAUAAAAAUCAGAGAAUAUCUGUGUCAUACAUGACCCAGCUCAUUCUGUCACUUCUAUGUUGUAAAACAGUAAUGAAGAUGUAGCUAUGCUUCUCCGUUGUGACUUACGACCUUAUACCAUUUCAAGAAACAGAAGAAGUACUUGAGAUCUCUUAUUGUUACUUGCUCUUGUUGACAAAUUGCCCUCGAGUUACAUCAGAACUUCAGAAGGAUUAAAUAUAGUGUCGUGAACAAAUUGAGAUUAAUAGCCAUGUUAGGAUGCAUCUGAUGUAUAACUGCUCCAUUCCAAAAGUGAAUUUUGGGAAAGCAAAUUCCAACCAAAUUCCAUCAUGACAGUUUUGUAAUGUUUUACUGCUCAAAGUAAAAGCCUUUCUUGGAAUGUAAAGAAUUUCCCAAUAAUUGUUCUAACUCUCCAGUUUAAAAGUGUUG
Molecule: long non-coding RNA, 2567 nt
Organism: Rosa chinensis
Lineage: Eukaryota; Viridiplantae; Streptophyta; Magnoliopsida; Rosales; Rosaceae
Exons: 3
Source: RefSeq, a predicted model, not a curated record